Molecule: ribosomal RNA, 1015 nt
Filed under: Paramonodictys hongheensis
Lineage: Eukaryota; Fungi; Ascomycota; Dothideomycetes; Pleosporales; Parabambusicolaceae
Description: SSU rRNA
Rfam family: Eukaryotic small subunit ribosomal RNA
Source: RNAcentral
CCGUGAAACUGCGAAUGGCUCAUUAAAUCAGUUAUCGUUUAUUUGAUAGUACCUUACUACUUGGAUAACCGUGGUAAUUCUAGAGCUAAUACAUGCUAAAAACCCCGACUUCGGGAGGGGUGUAUUUAUUAGAUAAAAAACCAAUGCCCUUCGGGGCUCUUUGGUGAUUCAUGAUAACUUAACGGAUCGCAUGGCCUUGCGCCGGCGACGGUUCAUUCAAAUUUCUGCCCUAUCAACUUUCGAUGGUAAGGUAUUGGCUUACCAUGGUUUCAACGGGUAACGGGGAAUUAGGGUUCGAUUCCGGAGAGGGAGCCUGAGAAACGGCUACCACAUCCAAGGAAGGCAGCAGGCGCGCAAAUUACCCAAUCCCGACACGGGGAGGUAGUGACAAUAAAUACUGAUACAGGGCUCUUUUGGGUCUUGUAAUCGGAAUGAGUACAAUUUAAACCCCUUAACGAGGAACAAUUGGAGGGCAAGUCUGGUGCCAGCAGCCGCGGUAAUUCCAGCUCCAAUAGCGUAUAUUAAAGUUGUUGCAGUUAAAAAGCUCGUAGUUGAACCUUGGGCCUGGCUGGCCGGUCCGCCUCACCGCGUGUACUGGUCCGGCCGGGCCUUUCCUUCUGGAGAGCCGCAUGCCCUUCACUGGGUGUGCCGGGGAACCAGGACUUUUACUUUGAAAAAAUUAGAGUGUUCAAAGCAGGCCUUUGCUCGAAUACGUUAGCAUGGAAUAAUAGAAUAGGACGUGCGAUCCUAUUUUGUUGGUUUCUAGGACCGCCGUAAUGAUUAAUAGGGAUAGUCGGGGGCAUCAGUAUUCAAUUGUCAGAGGUGAAAUUCUUGGAUUUAUUGAAGACUAACUACUGCGAAAGCAUUUGCCAAGGAUGUUUUCAUUAAUCAGUGAACGAAAGUUAGGGGAUCGAAGACGAUCAGAUACCGUCGUAGUCUUAACCGUAAACUAUGCCGACUAGGGAUCGGGCGAUGUUUUCAUCUUGACUCGCUCGGCACCUUACGAGAAAUCAAA